GACAGAGGGUGCAAACGUUGCUCGGAAUCACUGGGCGUAAAGGGCGUGUAGGCGGGACAGUAAGUCGGGCGUGAAAAUCCCUGGGCUCAACCCAGGAACUGCACUCGAAACUACUAUUCUUAGUGUCGGAGAGGAAAGCGGAAUUCCUGGUGUAGAGGUGAAAUUCGUAGAUAUCAGGAGGAACACCAGUGGCGAAGGCGCUUUCUGGACGUAUA
This 215-nucleotide ribosomal RNA is filed under the name uncultured bacterium. RNAcentral describes it as "partial 16S ribosomal RNA". It matches the Rfam family "Bacterial small subunit ribosomal RNA", at positions 524 to 739 of the family's 1533-position model. The record is from RNAcentral.